AGUGAACGCUGGCGGUAGGCCUAACACAUGCAAGUCGAACGGCAGCACAGUAAGAGCUUGCUCUUACGGGUGGCGAGUGGCGGACGGGUGAGGAAUACAUCGGAAUCUACUUUUUCGUGGGGGGUCACGGAGGGGAAACUAAGCUAAUAACGGAUAACGACUUCGGGGGGAAAGCAGGGGUCGUUUGGACUUUCGGGGUUGGAAUGGGCGAUGGUGGGUUUGCUAGUUGGCGGGGUAAAGGGCCACCAAGGCGACGAUCCGUAGCUGGUCUGAGAGGAUGGUCAGCCACACUGGAACUGAGACACGGUCCAGACUCCUACGGGAGGCAGCAGUGGGGAAUAUUGGACAAUGGGCGCAAGCCUGAUCCAGCCAUACCGCGUGGGUGAAGAAGGCCUUCGGGUUGUAAAGCCCUUUUGUUGGGAAAGAAAAGCAGCAGGUUAAUACCCCGCUGUUCUGACGGUACCCAAAGAAUAAGCACCGGCUAACUUCGUG
Molecule: ribosomal RNA, 492 nt
Filed under: uncultured bacterium
Lineage: Bacteria
Description: partial 16S ribosomal RNA
Rfam family: Bacterial small subunit ribosomal RNA
Source: RNAcentral